Non-coding RNA from Kogia breviceps (pygmy sperm whale), 2084 nucleotides. Lineage: Eukaryota; Metazoa; Chordata; Mammalia; Artiodactyla; Physeteridae. The record is from RefSeq and is a predicted model, not a curated record.
UUUCCCUCGGUUGCUUAUCCUCUUCAGCCCUCCACAACAGUACUGUACCUACUGAAAUGCAUUUUUGAAAACCUUUGAAUGCACGCUGUAGCGUGGGGGCUGGGAGGAGGGUGUAUUUCCACGUACUCCCUUCGCCUCGCGGGAUCCAGCGCAUGCGCUCUGCAGCAGGGCCCAGCUCCCCGCGGGCGCCGUGUAACUGGGAAGGCCAGGCCGGCCUUGGGUGGUAGGCUGGCCGCCAUCCCACGGGAGGAGGCGUGAGCGGGGCGGGGCAGGAACGUCUUUCUCCCGGACCGCGCCCUGGGCGGGCACAGAUACCUGCCUCACGGACCAUGGCUGCAGCGGCGUUGAGGCAGAUUUGGACCCGAAAAUUUCUCCCUGUCCCUUGGCUUCUGUGUGGUCCCAGAAGAUAUGACUCAUCCAGCUUCAAGGCUGCAGACCUGCAGCUGGAGAUGACACAGGAGCCUCAUAAGAAGCCUGACCCCAGCAAGCCCCUGCUGUUCGGGAAGACAUUCACCGACCACAUGCUGAUGGUGGAGUGGAACAAGGAGAAGGGCUGGUGCCAGCCCCGAAUCCAGCCCUUCCAGAACCUCAAACUGCACCCGGCCUGCUCGGCUCUCCACUAUUCCCUGCAGCUCUUUGAAGGCAUGAAGGCGUUCAAAGGCGGGGACCAGCGCGUGCGUCUCUUUCGACCUUGGCUCAACAUGGACCGGAUGCUGCGCUCGGCCCUGCGCCUCUGCCUGCCGAGUUUUGACAAGGUCGAGUUGCUCCAGUGCAUCCGCCGGCUGGUGGAAGUGGACAAGGACUGGGUUCCCGACAGCUCCGGCACCAGCCUCUAUGUGCGGCCUGUGUUCAUUGGGAACGAGCCCUCGCUAGGUGUCGGCAACCCCACGCGAGCCCUCCUGUUCGUCAUCCUCUGCCCGGUGGGCGCGUACUUCCCCGGAGAUGCCUUGAGCCCCGUCUCUCUCCUGGCUGACCCAUCAUUCAUCCGGGCCUGGGUGGGUGGGGUCGGUGACUGCAAGCUGGGGGGGAAUUACGGGCCCACCGUGUUUGUGCAGCAGGAGGCCCAAAAGAAGGGGUGUGAACAGGUCCUGUGGCUGUAUGGGCCUGACCACCAGCUCACUGAGGUGGGCACCAUGAACAUCUUUGUCUUCUGGACCCACGAGGAUGGGGUGCUGGAACUGGUGACCCCCCCACUGGACGGUGUCAUCCUGCCUGGAGUAGUUCGACAGAGUCUGCUGGACCUGGCUCGGACCUGGGGUGAGUUCCGGGUGGCAGAGCGUAAGAUCACCAUGAAGGAGUUCCUGCAGGCGCUGGAGGACGGCCGGGUUCGAGAAGUCUUCGGUUCAGGCACCGCUUGCCAGGUCUGCCCUGUGCACCGAAUCCUGUACCAAGGCAAGCACCUCCACAUUCCCACCAUGGAAAACGGGCCGGAGCUUGUCCUCCGCUUCCACAAGGAACUGAAGGCGAUCCAGGAAUGUUUCCUCUCAUAAGCCUCUGGAGGUAUCUUCAUUCGUCUGGACCGAGGUAUCUUGCCUUUCCUGGCACUCGUGUGAGCGUCUGUAAACUCCUGUGCAUCCGGACCUAGAACUACACCUCCUGACUCAGCUGAAAACGACUUUUUCCCAGAGCCUUCAGGGUCUUACAAGAACUCCUCUUUGCAGAACUACAUCUCCCUAUGGAACAAAAGCCCACGAGUGGAUGCUACCUGUGUGAUGCUGCGGGCUGUGCCGGACCACUCCACGGAUCCACCGACCUGUAGCAUCCAGUCCCUGUUGGACCUUCUCCUCCAUACCCGUGAUUCACCUGAAGUGCAAUAUGAAAGAAAAGGUGGCGGGCCGGGACGCCUGGGUUGCCGGUGCCCCCGCGUUACACUCCCAAAGCCAUAAGGGCCCGACCCAGGCGUGUUGGCCCCUAGCCCCGCCGCUCAGGCCUUGGGGACCUGGACUCGCCUUUGCUCUGUGUCGUGGGGUCAAGGAUACACCUUGACUCAGACUCUGACUCUCCGUUUUCAGGCCGGAUCAACCGGUGCUGCUGUUGAUUUUUUUCCCUAGCUGCAAUUUUGAAAUAAAAUGCCAAAGAACAAG